UCAAAGGCUCUCCAAGCUCAAGAAAACCCAUACCAUCUCCUUUUCCAUCUAGUCUUUAACAAUAAAAAUAAAAAUCUGAACUAAAUCCAAAUCCAAAACAUUCAGAAUUCCAGAAAACUCCUUCUCUAUGUCCACGUGCUUCAAUGCUCGAUCGUCUUCUUCCACAUACACCCCGGCGUACGUUAACCCCAGCUCCAAGCUCACUCUCUGUCAAAACCCUAAUGUCCAAUUUCUCUUCUCUUGAUAGUUUGUUACUUGCAGUAUAAUUUUCUUGUUUUGUAAAUUAUCAAUCUAAAUAUAAGUAAAAUGAUGGGAUCAGAGAAUCAGGGCUUUGAAGAAGCCCACCUCUACGCAUCUAGAGAAGAGAUGGAAAAUCUCGUUCUCGACGAGCCAUCAAAUAACACCAGCAACGGUACCAAAUCUUUUUCUGAUUACCGUAGUGCCAUGUCAUCACUCUCCGAUGCUCACCACCCUCUAUCGCCGCCGAUGUUGACUGCUCCGGCUGACUCUGAUCCUUUACUCGUUCCUCCACCUUAUCGCGUCGCAACCGAUAACUCUUCUUACAUCGAACCACCAUCCUAUGCUGAUGUCAUUUUUAGUCCGUUCGAUGAAAAUACCGUCAAUGAAAUCAACGGCGUUGAUAGCCCUGGUCGGUCCACUGAUUCUUCUGCUUCUCUCUCACGGUCACCGUCUUCGAGCUCCGACUAUAUUAAAGUAACUGUCUCGAAUCCCCAAAAGGAGCAAGAAACUUCGAAUUCUCUCGUUCCAGGAGGCAAUACUUACGUUACGUAUCUAAUCACGACAAGAACCAACAUACCAGAAUUUAACGGAUCUGAAUUUAGCGUACGGAGGAGAUUUAAAGACGUGGUUACUUUAUCAGAUCGAUUAGCAGAGGCAUAUAGAGGUUUUUUUAUCCCGCCAAGACCAGACAAGAAUGUGGUGGAGAGUCAAGUGAUGCAAAAACAGGAGUUUGUGGAGCAGAGGAGAGUAGCGUUAGAGAAGUACUUGAGAAGACUUGCUGCACAUCCAGUGAUAAGGAAAAGCGAUGAACUGAAGGUGUUUUUACAGGUCCAAGGUAAGCUUCCAUUGCCAACGAGUACUGAUGUGGCUUCGAGGAUGCUUGAUGGUGCAGUGAAGUUACCAAAGCAGUUAUUUGGAGAGAGUGCGGUAGUUGCGCCACAAGAAGUUGUGCAGCCGGCAAAAGGAGGGAGGGAUUUGUUGAGGCUGUUUAAAGAGUUGAAGCAGUCAGUGGCUAAUGAUUGGGGAGGAGCAAGGCCGCCUGUUGUUGAGGAAGAUAAAGAGUUUUUGGAGAAGAAGGAAAGGAUGAAUGAUCUUGAGCAGCAGCUCAGCAAUGCUUCUCAGCAGGCUGAAUCAUUGGUUAAAGCACAGCAAGAUAUGGGGGAGACAAUGGGAGAAUUAGGAUUAGCGUUUAUCAAAUUGACUAAAUUUGAGAAUGAGGAAGCUAUCUUUAACUCCCAGAGAGUAAGGGCUGCUGACAUGAAAAAUGUGGCAACAGCUGCAGUCAAAGCAAGCAGAUUCUACCGGGAGCUAAAUGCUCAGACUGUCAAGCAUUUGGAUACUCUCCAUGAAUAUCUUGGGCUGAUGUUGUCUGUGCAUGGAGCAUUUUCGGACCGAUCUAGUGCUUUGCUGACUGUGCAAACUCUUCUAUCGGAAUUGUCCUCAUUGCACUCAAGGGCUGAAAAACUUGAGGCUGCAUCAUCAAAAAUAUUUGGCGGCGAUAAGUCGAGGAUUCGCAAAAUAGAGGAGUUGAAAGAAACCAUAAGAGUUACUGAGGAUGCAAAAAAUGUUGCUAUCAGAGAGUAUGAAAGGAUCAAGUGGGGAGAAGGAGAAGUCAUGUUUUUAGCUGGAAGGUGGUCUGGGAGCCUGUGCAUAACAUAUUGCUAAAGAGAAUAACAGAAGUGAAGUAGAAAGGCUUGACAGCGAAAGACGUGCUGAUUUCUUGAACAUGUUGAAGGGCUUUGUUCUUAAUCAGGUGGGGUAUGCUGAGAAAAUUGCAAAUGUGUGGUCGAAGGUUGCAGAGGAGACUAGUGGGUACGCAAGAGAGAGCACUUGAAAGUGUGCAUGUAAAUUCAGAUCUUCUGCUCUUAUUUCUCUUUUCUUUAUAUUUAAUAUUGCCACACUGCUAGGAAGUAGUUUUGCAUUGAUACAAUAAAGAAAAGAGAUUACUCUGUAGGUUGUAGCUUAUCAAUUUCACUUUCAAGUUUGCCUGUUAGAGAGGUUGUCUAUACACCCUGAAAUUUUAAUUUGAUGUUGUACACUGGUGUUGAGAUCAUAAUCACAUUGUAACUGUUUGAUGUUGAAAAGUGUCAUGGUCAUUUUAGAAGUUA
Molecule: RNA transcript, 2348 nt
Organism: Jatropha curcas
Lineage: Eukaryota; Viridiplantae; Streptophyta; Magnoliopsida; Malpighiales; Euphorbiaceae
Gene name: sorting nexin 2A
Source: RefSeq, a predicted model, not a curated record